Molecule: non-coding RNA, 140 nt
Organism: Pelobates cultripes (western spadefoot toad)
Lineage: Eukaryota; Metazoa; Chordata; Amphibia; Anura; Pelobatidae
Source: the annotation of a GenBank genome assembly
GACACAGUCAUCAGUGCACAUACUCGGUGACAUAUAUAUGUAUAUAUAUAUAUAUAUAUAUAUAUAUAUAUAUAUAUAUAUAAUAAUGUGUGUGUAUGUAUAUAUAUAUGUCACCGAGUAUGUGCAUUGAUGAUUGUGUC